This 717-nucleotide ribosomal RNA is filed under the name Crocodylus porosus (Australian saltwater crocodile). RNAcentral's name for it is "partial 12S ribosomal RNA". The stretch from base 1 to 474 matches the Rfam family "Bacterial small subunit ribosomal RNA", at positions 885 to 1533 of the family's 1533-position model. The record is from RNAcentral. Lineage: Eukaryota; Metazoa; Chordata; Crocodylia; Crocodylidae.
AGCAACUUGCUUAAAACUCAAAGGACUUGACGGUGUUUCGAACCCGCCUAGAGGAGCCUGUCCUAUAAUCGACAACACACGAUCCACCCAACCAUCUUUUGCCCUAAACAGCCUGUAUACCGCCGUCGCAAGCUUAGCCCAUGAGGGACAAGUACCUAGCACAAUAACUCACUUCUGAGCUAGUACGUCAGGUCAAGGUGCAGCCAAUAAGUUGGUAGAGAUGGGCUACAUUUUCUACACUAUAGAAACCAGUCACGGAGAGGCCUGUGAAACCAGGACUGUCAAAGACGGAUUUAGCAGUAAAUCAGGAGAAGAGUGCCUAAUUGAAGACGGCCCCGAAAUAUGUACACACCGCCCGUCACCCUCCUCGAAUUUAACCCAAUUUAUGCUACAUAACACACAUAGCAUUCAAUGAGAUGAGGAAAGUCGUAACAAGGUAAGCGUACCGGAAGGUGUGCUUGGAACAUCAAAAUGUAGCUUAAACCAAAGCAUUCUGCUUACACCUGAAACAUGUUUACUUAAAUAAACCAUUUUGAUUAACCCGCUCUAGCCCUCAAAAUUCUAACACGAAUCAAAUAAAUCACACUAAACCAAAACAUUUUUAUGCCUAAGUAUCGGUGAGAGAAAAGACAACAGGCGCGAUAGAGACAGUACCGCAAGGGAAAGAUGAAAUAAAAAUUUAACACAAAAGUAUAACACAGCAAAGAUUAACCCUUU